GAAACGUGUAUCCAGCCAUGCCGCGUGAGUGAUGAAGGCCUUAGGGUUGUAAAGCUCUUUUACCCGGGAAGAUAAUGACGGUACCGGGAGAAUAAGCCCCGGCUAACUUCGUGCCAGCAGCCGCGGUAAUACGAAGGGGGCUAGCGUUGUUCGGAAUUACUGGGCGUAAAGCGCACGUAGGCGGAUCUUUAAGUCAGGGG
RNAcentral lists this ribosomal RNA (200 nucleotides) under uncultured bacterium. RNAcentral's name for it is "partial 16S ribosomal RNA". It matches the Rfam family "Bacterial small subunit ribosomal RNA", at positions 377 to 594 of the family's 1533-position model. The record is from RNAcentral.